Molecule: non-coding RNA, 24 nt
Filed under: Cricetulus griseus (Chinese hamster)
Lineage: Eukaryota; Metazoa; Chordata; Mammalia; Rodentia; Cricetidae
Source: RNAcentral
GUAGCUCAGUGGUAGAGCGCGCGC